UACCAGCACCCCGAGUGGUCGGGACGUUUAUUGGGCCUAAAGCAUCCGUAGUCGGUUCUACAAGUCUUCCGUUAAAUCCACCUGCUUAACAGAUGGGCUGCGGAAGAUACUAUGGAGCUAGGAGGCGGGAGAGGCAAGCGGUACUCGAUGGGUAGGGGUAAAAUCCGUUGAUCCAUUGAAGACCACCAGUGGCGAAGGCGGCUUGCCAGAACGCGCUCGACGGUGAGGGAUGAAAGCUGGGGGAGCAAACCGG
RNAcentral lists this ribosomal RNA (253 nucleotides) under uncultured bacterium. Its description in RNAcentral is "partial 16S ribosomal RNA". It matches the Rfam family "Archaeal small subunit ribosomal RNA", at positions 474 to 727 of the family's 1478-position model. The record is from RNAcentral.